AUUGAACGCUGGCGGCAUGCCUUACACAUGCAAGUCGAGCGCGAAAGGGGGCAACCCCGAGUAGAGCGGCGGACGGGUGAGUAACACAUCGGAACGUGCCCAGUAGUGGGGGACAACCUCGAGAAAUCGAGGCUAAUACCGCAUACGACCCACGGGUGAAAGCGGGGGACCGCAAGGCCUCGCGCUAUUGGAGCGGCCGAUGUCCGAUUAGCUAGUUGGCGGGGUAANAGCCCACAAGGCGACGAUCGGUAGCUGGUCUGAGAGGACGACCAGCCACACUGGGACUGAGACA
RNAcentral lists this ribosomal RNA (292 nucleotides) under uncultured bacterium. RNAcentral describes it as "partial 16S ribosomal RNA". It matches the Rfam family "Bacterial small subunit ribosomal RNA", at positions 29 to 326 of the family's 1533-position model. The record is from RNAcentral.